GACGAACGCUGGCGGCGUGCCUAAUACAUGCAAGUAGAACGCUGAGGAGAGGAGCUUGCUCUUCUUGGAUGAGUUGCGAACGGGUGAGUAACGCGUAGGUAACCUGCCUUGUAGCGGGGGAUAACUAUUGGAAACGAUAGCUAAUACCGCAUAACAAUGGAUGACACAUGUCAUUUAUUUGAAAGGGGCAAUUGCUCCACUACAAGAUGGACCUGCGUUGUAUUAGCUAGUAGGUGAGGUAAUGGCUCACCUAGGCGACGAUACAUAGCCGACCUGAGAGGGUGAUCGGCCACACUGGGACUGAGACACGGCCCAGACUCCUACGGGAGGCAGCAGUAGGGAAUCUUCGGCAAUGGGGGCAACCCUGACCGAGCAACGCCGCGUGAGUGAAGAAGGUUUUCGGAUCGUAAAGCUCUGUUGUAAGUCAAGAACGGGUGUGAGAGUGGAAGGUUCACACUGUGACGGUAGCUUACCAGAAAGGGACGGCUAACUACGUG
Molecule: ribosomal RNA, 497 nt
Filed under: uncultured bacterium
Lineage: Bacteria
Description: partial 16S ribosomal RNA
Rfam family: Bacterial small subunit ribosomal RNA
Source: RNAcentral